This 520-nucleotide ribosomal RNA is filed under the name uncultured bacterium. RNAcentral's name for it is "bacterial SSU rRNA". It matches the Rfam family "Bacterial small subunit ribosomal RNA", at positions 8 to 518 of the family's 1533-position model. The record is from RNAcentral.
AGAGUUUGAUCCUGGCUCAGGAUGAACGCUAGCUACAGGCUUAACACAUGCAAGUCGAGGGGCAGCAUAAGAGAAGCUUGCUUUCUUGAUGGCGACCGGCGCACGGGUGAGUAACGCGUAUCCAACCUACCCAUAAGUAGUGCAUAGCCCGGCGAAAGUCGGAUUAAUUCACUAUAUGUUAAUUUUGGCAUCUUUAUUAAACGAAAGAUUUAUUGCUUAUGGAUGGGGGAUGCGUAUGAUUAGUUAGUUGGUGAGGUAAUGGCUCACCAAGGCUACGAUCAUUAGGGGUUCUGAGAGGAAGGUCCCCCACACUGGUACUGAGACACGGACCAGGCUCCUACGGGAGGCAGCAGUGAGGAAUAUUGGUCAAUGGACGUAAGUCUGAACCAGCCAAAGUAGCGUGUAGGAAGACUGCCCUAUGGGUUGUAAACUACUUUUGUUCGGGAGUAAAGUUAGUCACGUGUGACUAUUUGCAAGUACCGAUCGAAUAAGGACCGGCUAAUUCCGUGCCAGCCGCGGC